GGGGUUGUGGCUCAGCGGUAGAGCGCUUGCCUGGUGCGUGCAAGGCCCUGGGUUCGAUUCUCAGCACCA
Molecule: non-coding RNA, 69 nt
Organism: Ictidomys tridecemlineatus (thirteen-lined ground squirrel)
Lineage: Eukaryota; Metazoa; Chordata; Mammalia; Rodentia; Sciuridae
Source: Rfam